RNAcentral lists this ribosomal RNA (499 nucleotides) under uncultured bacterium. Its description in RNAcentral is "bacterial SSU rRNA". It matches the Rfam family "Bacterial small subunit ribosomal RNA", at positions 8 to 507 of the family's 1533-position model. The record is from RNAcentral.
AGAGUUUGAUCAUGGCUCAGGAUGAACGCUGGCGGCAUGCCUAAUACAUGCAAGUCGAACGGAAUCUUAUAUGUUCCUCGUUUCGGAUUUAGUUCCGAGUUGGGGAACAAUAAGAUUUAGUGGCGGACGGGUGAGUAACACGUUGGUACCUACCCUCUAGUGGGGAAUAACUUCGAGAAAUCGAGGCUAAUACCGCAUAAUAUCUACGGAUUAAAGCAUUUAUGCGCUAGAGGAGGGGCCUGCGUCUGAUUAGCUUGUUGGUGAGGUAAAAAGCUCACCAAGGCGACGAUCAGUAGCUGGAUCGAGAGGUUGACCAGCCACACUGGGACUGAGAUACGGCCCAGACUCCUACGGGAGGCAGCAGUAAGGAAUCUUCCACAAUGGGCGAAAGCCUGAUGGAGCAAUGCCGCGUGCAGGAUGACGGCCUUCGGGUUGUAAACUGCUUUUAUAUGGGAAGAUUAUGACGGUACCAUAUGAAUAAGGACCGGCUAACUACGUG